Molecule: ribosomal RNA, 301 nt
Filed under: uncultured bacterium
Lineage: Bacteria
Description: partial 16S ribosomal RNA
Rfam family: Bacterial small subunit ribosomal RNA
Source: RNAcentral
CAGUAGCCACGGUAAUACGUAGGGUGCGAGCGUUAAUCGGAAUUACUGGGCGUAAAGCGUGCGCAGGCGGUUGUGUAAGACAGGUGUGAAAUCCCCGGGCUUAACCUGGGAACUGCGCUUGUGACUGCACAGCUAGAGUAUGGCAGAGGGGGGUGGAAUUUCACGUGUAGCAGUGAAAUGCGUAGAGAUGUGGAGGAAUACCGAUGGCGAAGGCAGCCCCCUGGGCCAAUACUGACGCUCAUGCACGAAAGCGUGGGGAGCAAACAGGAUUAGAUACCCGCGUAGUCCCUGUCUCUUAUAC